Molecule: unclassified non-coding RNA, 287 nt
Filed under: uncultured fungus
Lineage: Eukaryota; Fungi
Description: partial contains 5.8S ribosomal RNA, internal transcribed spacer 2, and large subunit ribosomal RNA
Source: RNAcentral
AACGCACAUUGCGCUCCCUGGUAUUCCUAGGAGCAUGCCUGUCUGAGCGUCAGUACACACCCUCCCUUCGGCGUUUCUUCCCCUCGCGGGGCUUGGAGGCCGAUCGGGUCCUGAGGGGAGCGGCCCAACCGUCGCCCCCUCUAAAGUGGAAAGCCAGCGGCCCGCCUGCCCAUGAAAGACGUAGUAAACUCUGCCUCGUCCGCGAAAGGGUACAAGGUUCGGCGCCCGCCUCAAGCACCUUCUCAAGGCUUGACCUCAGAUCAGACAAGAAUACCCGCUGAACUUAA